UGGUGGGUAGUUUGACUGGGGCGGUCUCCUCCUAAAGAGUAACGGAGGAGCACGAAGGUUGGCUAAUCCUGGUCGGACAUCAGGAGGUUAGUGCAAUGGCAUAAGCCAGCUUGACUGCGAGCGUGACGGCGCGAGCAGGUGCGAAAGCAGGUCAUAGUGAUCCGGUGGUUCUGAAUGGAAGGGCCAUCGCUCAACGGAUAAAAGGUACUCCGGGGAUAACAGGCUGAUACCGCCCAAGAGUUCAUAUCGACGGCGGUGUUUGGCACCUCGAUGUCGGCUCAUCACAUCCUGGGGCUGAAGUAGGUCCCAAGGGUAUGGCUGUUCGCCAUUUAAAGUGGUACGCGAGCUGGGUUUAGAACGUCGUGAGACAGUUCGGUCCCUAUCUGCCGUGGGCGCUGGAGAACUGAGGGGGGCUGCUCCUAGUACGAGAGGACCGGAGUGGACGCAUCACUGGUGUUCGGGUUGUCAUGCCAAUGGCACUGCCCGGUAGCUAAAUGCGGAAGAGAUAAGUGCUGAAAGCAUCUAAGCACGAAACUUGCCCCGAGAUGAGUUCUCCCUGAGACUUAGAGUCUCCUGAAGGAACGUUGAAGACGACGACGUUGAUAGGCCGGGUGUGUAAGCGCAGCGAUGCGUUGAGCUAACCGGUACUAAUGAACCGUGAGG
This 663-nucleotide ribosomal RNA is filed under the name Escherichia coli. Its description in RNAcentral is "partial 23S ribosomal RNA". It matches the Rfam family "Bacterial large subunit ribosomal RNA", at positions 2259 to 2916 of the family's 2925-position model. Lineage: Bacteria; Pseudomonadati; Pseudomonadota; Gammaproteobacteria; Enterobacterales; Enterobacteriaceae. The record is from RNAcentral. RNAcentral also lists the same sequence under 20 other names.